This 355-nucleotide ribosomal RNA is filed under the name Lacerta trilineata cariensis. RNAcentral's name for it is "partial 12S ribosomal RNA". It matches the Rfam family "Bacterial small subunit ribosomal RNA", at positions 869 to 1392 of the family's 1533-position model. The record is from RNAcentral. Lineage: Eukaryota; Metazoa; Chordata; Lepidosauria; Squamata; Lacertidae.
CCGCCAGAGAUACAAGUGAAAAACUUGAAACUCAAAGGACUUGACGGUGUCCCAUAUCGACCUAGAGGAGCCUGUCCUAUAAUCGAUACUCCACGUUCUACCUAACCCUAACUAGCACAUCAUCAGCCUAUAUACCGCCGUCGACAGCCUACCCUAUGAAGGUCUAACAGUAGACACAAUAACCCAACCGCUAGCACGUCAGGUCAAGGUGUAGCAAAUGCUAGGGAAGAGAUUGGCUACAUUUUUUAUAAUAAAAAACACGAAAAGUACUAUGAAACCGUACAUGAAGGUGAAUUUAGUAGUAAAAUAGAUAAGAGUGUCUAUUUUAACAACGCUCUGGGACGCGUACACACCG